GAUGUAUGGCCUAUAAAUAAGAUAAGGGUGGAGAAGCUUAGAACCAAGAAGUCUCAAAAUGAAGGCCAUUCUCAUUGUCUGCCUUCUCUUGGCUUCCAUAUUUUUCAUUCCUUCUUCAAAUGCAGCAUCAGAAAAGUGUAAUCCAUAUAUUCGUGGAUCUUGUCGAUCGAAGCCGCCAGCUCAACCCUUGAAGCCAGUUGCUCCACCGUUGAAGCCGCCAACUCCACCAAGGAAGCUAACUUCAGCAGCUGAAUGUAGUCGUAACCCAAAUAAAAGUUGCACACCUCCAACGCCACGUAAUCCCUAUAAGAGGCGAAGUCCGCCAUUCAAUAGGCCUUAAGAAAUGAAGCACCAUGGUUCAGUAACAAUUAAGCAUUAGGUUGCUUAUUAUCGUGGAGAGAAGUAGUAAUUAAGAAUAAAGUGGGUUUUAUGUGAUAUAUGGUUUGGGCUUUAUGAUGCCUCCUAUAAUUGGUUCCUAGUUAUGUAUUAUGCUCUCCAUAAUAAUAGUAUAUUGUAACGUGUGCAAAAUAAAAGAGUGGACUAAUCUGUUGGCUUA
Long non-coding RNA from Quercus lobata, 556 nucleotides. RefSeq lists it as uncharacterized. The record is from RefSeq and is a predicted model, not a curated record. The transcript has 2 exons. Lineage: Eukaryota; Viridiplantae; Streptophyta; Magnoliopsida; Fagales; Fagaceae.